RNAcentral lists this long non-coding RNA (690 nucleotides) under Equus caballus (horse). Its description in RNAcentral is "lncRNA (ENSECAG00000046819.1)". Lineage: Eukaryota; Metazoa; Chordata; Mammalia; Perissodactyla; Equidae. The record is from RNAcentral.
AUUAAGAACAGACAGUCUCAGCUCUGUGACUUUGUAGAUGAGGUUAGGAAGAGAGCUCGAUCACAGCAAGGAUUCAGGGCCUCAGGCAAGCUUCUGUUAUUGACCUUCCUGCAAAGAGGUCCCCUUGACAAUGCAGGGGGUGCAAAAUGUGUAAGAUGUAGUUUCUGCCCUCGUGCAGGUUAAAACGAAGGAUUCGUGUGUGAAAAGGAAUCAGAUAAGACAUAAAAUUGUAUUCCCGCGCCUGCCGCCAUUGCCUCUGCAGAGGGAGAGACUGGCUUUUGGAUUCUGUCCCCGGCUGCUCCGUCUCGGCCUCGUCAGGGAGGCCGUCGCCUCCCUUCUGCAUGGUGUGUUCCUCCUCAUCCUUCAAGUCUUGGCUUAACUCUCAUCUUCUCAGAGGCUUUCUUUGCCUGCUCCAAUCUAAAGGAAGCUGCCCCAUUACUAUCUCUUACAGUACAGUAGGUUCAGUGAUGGCCCCCAAAAGACAAAUAGAAGAGAAACACAAUGGGAGAAGAGGAGAAGGCCAUGGGAAGAUGGAGGCAGAGCUUGGAGGGAGGCAGCCGCAAGCCAGGGACACCCGGGGCCACCAGAAGCUGGAAGAGACGAGGGAUGGUUCUCCCCAGAGCCUCUGGAGGGAGCCUGGCUCUGCCCGCACCUUGGUUUUGGACUUCCAGCCUCCAGAACUGUGAGAGA